This 834-nucleotide long non-coding RNA is filed under the name Salmo salar (Atlantic salmon). RNAcentral describes it as "lncRNA (ENSSSAG00000121597.1)". Lineage: Eukaryota; Metazoa; Chordata; Actinopteri; Salmoniformes; Salmonidae. The record is from RNAcentral.
UUUCCCUAUACAACUGACUAGGUAUCCCCUUUCCCUGUACAACUGACUAGGUAUCCCCCUUUCCCUAUACAACUGACUAGGUAUCCCCUUUCCCUAUACAACUGACUAGGUAUCCCCCUUUCCCUUUACAACUGACUAGGUAUCCCCCGUUCCCUAUUCAACUGACUAGGUAUCCCCUUUCCCUAUACAACUGACUAGGUAUCCCCUUUCCCUAUACAACUGACUAGGUAUCCCCCUUUCCCUAUACAACUGACUAGGUAUCCCCCUUUCCCUAUACAACUGACUAGGUAUCCCGUUUCCCUAUACAACUGACUAGGUAUCCCCCUUUCCCUAUACAACUGACUAGGUAUCCCCCUUUCCCUAUACAACUGACUAGGUGUCCCCCUUUCCCUAUACAACUGACUAGGUAUCCCCCUUUCCCUAUACAACUGACUAGGUACCCCCCUUUCCCUAUACAACUGACUAGGUAUCCCCCUUUCCCUAUACAACUGACUAGGUAUCCCCCUUUCCCUAUUCAACUGACUAGGUAUCCCCCUUUCCCUAUACAACUGACUAGGUAUCCCCCUUUCCCUAUACAACUGACUAGGUAUCCCGUUUCCCUAUACAACUGACUAGGUAUCCCCUUUCCCUAUACAACUGACUAGGUAUCCCCUUUCCCUAUACAACUGACUAGGUAUCCCCCUUUCCCUAUACAACUGACUAGGUAUCCCCCUUUCCCUGUACAACUGACUAGGUAUCCCCCGUUCCCUAUUCAACUGACUAGGUAUCCCCCUUUCCCUUUACAACUGACUAGGUAUCCCCCUUUCCCUAUACAACUGACUAGGUAUCCCCUUU